UUUAUGAAGACCUGAAAGACCUUCUAGAGCUAACACCCAAAAAAGAUGUCCUUUUCAUUAUAGAGGACUGGAAUGCAAAAGUAGGAAGUCAAGAAACACCUGGAUGACCUCCCGGGAGCGGGGGGCCACCAGGUUGCCUAAGGAGGGGUGAACCGGCCCAGGUCGGAAACGGAGCAGGUCAAAACUCCCGUGCUGAUCAGUAGUGGGAUCGCGCCUGUGAAUAGCCACUGUACUCCAGCCUGGGCAAUAUAGCGAGACCCUGUCUCU
Molecule: small RNA, 267 nt
Filed under: Bos indicus x Bos taurus (hybrid cattle)
Lineage: Eukaryota; Metazoa; Chordata; Mammalia; Artiodactyla; Bovidae
Description: Metazoan signal recognition particle RNA (ENSBIXG00000026759.1)
Rfam family: Metazoan signal recognition particle RNA (bases 86-201)
Source: RNAcentral